CACUGAGGUUGAAGACUGGAGCUCUCCAGAAGAGAAACUGCUUGGAUGUGGCCUGGUGGGAUUUCAUGUGCUCUGAUUUCACGUUGCUCAGAGCGCUAAUUGCAGCACAUGGCUAAGGGCGAGUGUACCUCCAGGCCAGAUGGAAUUGAACUGGAAGUGAACAUUGCUGGUCUCGGAAAUGGGCUUAUGCUGGGGCCAGAACUGACUGGGAAUACUUCCCUGGAACUUCUGCUGCCUCAGCAAAAUAUCUACCAAGAAAUUAUGGAAUCGAGGCCAAAUGGAGCAGGAUUCAUCCAGGAGAUGAAAGCUCAGAGUUGAACCAAACCUGUUUCGGAGCAGUUUUAGACUGAAACGUUUCUGUGUUUCCCACUCUGACAUCCUGAAAUUCCUCGUGGAAGGAAUCUUUGCCCUCUGCAUGGCCUCCUAUAGUCCAGACAGAUGGAUGCAUGAGAUGAAGAAGGAAGGAGGAGAAUGAGGAGGCAGUGUGGAGCAGAACGGCAAUCCUGGGAAAGGAUCCUGGUCCAGUUGCUAUGGAUGGUAGGAUGUGGUCCUACAACCUCCCCCACAGGAUGUGUGGGUCCGGGACUGGCCCAAGCACGUGUCCCACUCCUGAUGCAGCCCGGGGUGUACAGAGGUUGUUUUUCACCGAAUGGAGGUUUUUCCCUGAGGUUUGUGCAAGAUGCUCUCAGAGAGAGCUAUAAAUACCGCAGUGCUUCCUGUGCGGCUCUGCGAGGAGGAAGCUGCUUCCCCAGCAGGGGAAGGAGGCAGCGGGCGUCCCGGUGGGUGCAGGCAGCUGUGUGUGUUGGGGGCGUGGGGGGGGUCCUCCUCGUGCACCCCUCUUUCUGUGCUGGGGAUGGGAUGCUCGGGUGGAGCUCUGCUGCUCUGCAUCAGACUGGAUUUAGCUUUGGUGUUUCUAGAAAGCAGGGUGUGGGGAGGACGUGGCAGGAUGCUGGGCAGGGUGAGGAGUGUGAGAGGCAUUCAGAGAGAGUGAGGUCCCGUUGCUCCUUUCUGAGCAAGGUCUGCUGCGUGAGAAUGUUCUGAAAUGCAGUUUUUGCUGGUGCAGAUGGUGACAGUCCUGAACAGGGAGUUUUGGAGUGGAUGCAGUGGGUUUGCACCCACUGGGAUCUCGAGAGGAGUGAGAGCCACCUCUCAUUCCACUGUCACCCUGCUCCCCAGCUGCUGCUGACAGCCCUGGGACAGCAGAGCUCCCGGAGUGGAAGGGAAGGUGUGCUGGGGCCAACCCACAGGUAGGGGAUGGUGAUGCACCUGAAGGCACCUCAUGCACUGAUCUCCAAGAUUGCUGCAAGGUCUGUGGGCUAUCUAGCAGCAUGAAACCUCCAACCAACCUCCGGGCCCUCUGUGAGGUCUCCUUUGGCAGUCUCCAGUCCUGGCAUCCUCUCUUUCCAGAGCUAUUUCUGUGUUUAUUUCUGUGGGGGGGAGAGAUGUAGGAACAUAAAUGUCCUUUGGGGAAGUGGAGGGGAUGAGCUGUGCCCAGCGGAUGAGCCCCACCUUCCCAGUGAUCCCGGAUGGGACCGGGGAGGGUUUAUUCACCAGGAAAUGCAUUUGGGUCACAUAAAGAUGAUUUGCAGCAUUAGGCUGUGACUGCCAAGAGUUGAGCACGGAGCACAGAGUGUGGGCACUGCUCACAGGUGCAGGCUUUGCACUCUUCGAAACUCCCUGUGCCUUUGCAAUGUGGCCCCAGUCGAGCAGCAUUGCAGGUUGGGAAACUGACAGCACCUGUGAGGGACACGGCUGUGUUGCUCCCUUACAUUUUGGGCAGCUCUGGAAGCUUUGGGUCGUGCUGAGCAAUGGGUGAUGCGUAGCCUUGCAAAGGAGCUCUGCAGUCUGACUUCUGCACUCUCGUUUGUGGUUCGCUGUGGAAGGCAGAGCCUGAAUGAGACAGAAGCACCGAGCUGAUGUUGCAUGUCACUGUGUGAGGAACUCUGCCUGAGGUUUUGCAUUUGGGAAGCCCCGGGGCUCAAACUGAAAACAAAAUGGGUACUCACGCAAUUUCUGGUCCCAGAGGAAGCUCCAUUCACAGGAGGUGCCAGGCAGAAUGUUGGCUGUCACUGAGGAAAAAGGGCCUUGGGUGGGGGCACUCAGUCUGAAACACACUCAGACUCAGAGGGAAAAGCAUACCAACCUGGUUUCCCUCGUGAUUUCUGACAACCGUGCCUUAAAGUGAUCAUUAAAAUGAUCUCUAAGCCAAUUUGUUGAUACGGCAGACUUUGGUUGGCUGCUCAGCUGCGGGCUCUUCUUUGCAGAAUAACAAGUGGGGGAACGGCCCAUGGGAGAUCACUGCUGGGUUCCCCAUCAUCCUGCAAGAAAAAGGACGAGCCAAGAGAGGACUCGAUUGGGCAGCACAGACACCUUCCUGGGGAGAGCAGCCCCAGCACCGAGCGGUGCCUCGGUGAUGUAAGGAGAGGCAGGACGUGUCCGAGGAAACCCCCACAUGGACAGCAGGCCCUGAGCCAAAGCUGUCACCAAAUUCUGAGAGCCACUGCUGGGCCAGCCAAGAGAGAGGCGGCUGCUCACGGCUCUGUGCGUGUCAGCUCUGAUGAGAGGGGCUUUCCCAGGGCAAGGCAAAUCCAAAGAGGGAAUGCAGGCGCUGUGUGGGCAGUGCUGAUGCGAUGAGGUAUUUGCAGAACCUGUAGUUUCUGGCUGCUGCUGCUUGGAAUGAGGAUGCGAUUUUCCCAGUAGUCAAGAAAUAACAUGAAGCAUUAAUCCCAGGAGAGCCCUGCUAAUGAGCCCAGGAAAACCCAGCAGUUGGGGCUGGGAGCCAAUGGGAGCAGUGUGAGCACAGCAAAAGGGCUGUGUGAACCCCGGGGAGGGGAAAGUGGUGGGGCUAUGGCAGGAGUGGGGUGGGUGCUGGCAGGGCCUGGUGGGGCCACGGUGUGCUGCAGGGAGAGAAGGAAGGGCAGGCUGUGGGCAAGGGCUGGGAAACAGAGGCCAACUGGUUCUUGUUUAUCUGCUCCAUCUUCUACCCUGAUGGAGCUCACGGUGUGAGAAGCAGCCUGAGCAGGUGGGAGCUCACAGCUGUGCAGGUGAGCAGCCCCUGGAGAUGAAGAGUUCGUACUGCCCCAUGGAUGAGUGCAAAUGUUUUCGUAUCACUGGAAAGCAAAAUGACAAACCAUCUACUUCCAUCAAUAACAGUUCAGAUUGGUGCUGAGGUGAUGGCAGUCCUUGCAAGUUCAGGAUACAUUAUAGCUGCAGGAUCCCUGUGAAAGCAAUGGCUGUGCUUGCUCAGCAUACCGUACUCAUCCAGUUGUAGCUGCAAGCUCUUGUUAGCUAAUUGCUCCCCACAAAGUGCCUUCUCUUCGGCCAGCUCUCCCACUGAGCCUAAUGACAUCUCAGUGUAGCCCUGCUCUAUAUGCAAAACCUCGCACAGCCAUUGUGUCAGCGUUGUGGGCUCCUGUGACAGGUCCUUUUGUAAGGUCUUCUCAUCCUGGCACCAGCAGGUGAGGGCUCUUACCUCUGUUUUCACUAGCUGCAAAUCAUACUGCUAUAAAGCAGAGGGAAGCGGGGUCUUCAUCCCUGCCCCAAAGGGACAUCGGCCACUGAGUGGGAGAUAGAGAAGUGGCAGAAGGCCCAGCAAGAAAACGAUUUGGGUGGAAAUUUUCACCUGGGAGAGCAUAUACGACAGACCAGGGGAGGUUCUGCAGGAAGGGAACCCUGGGGGGUUUAUAAAGCACAGAGACGGAGGUGAUGGAGAGCAGAAGCCCAUCCCACUCGUGGCCUCCAGCCUGAGUGAUCCAGGAUGCCCUCAGCUGGGCAGACCCUGUUUUCUGCUCAGGCUCUGGGUGGAUUCAUCCCACUGCUUCUGCUGAGUGGAAUGAGCCUUGUGAAGCUCUGUUCCUUCACUCCCAGGCAUGCAGAGGACAGAGGAUCGCAGCGCUCUGCAGGAUGUCUGCUCAGCUGCCCUGGGAUGGACCCUCCGGGAGAUGAGGGCUCUGAUGCAGAUUCUGCCUCCUGCCCGGUGUCACGGGGCUGUCUGGCACUUUGCAAGAGGAAAAAAAAUGAUGUGCCUGCCACUGAAAGGUACAGUUUGUGUUAUACCAAGGACAGAGUGACGAGAGAGAACACAGAGUGCAGGCAGAGAGGGUGAACUGUUCAUUACAGGAUCUGCUUUCAUGCAUCUAUCUCACAGGCUGGGGCUGAGCUCAGGUUUUUGUGACCCCACUGUGGCUCCUGCCCUUGGAGCUGCCUUCCUGCUUGCAGGGCUGGAGCUGCAGCCUGGCCCUGAUGCGUUGGGAACUGUUUGUCCUGACCAUGCGAGUGGGCAGAUCUGGGAUCAGGCUUUGCUGAUUCUACUCCGAGGAACAGGAGGGAAGGAAGCAAUUUCUGUAAAUAUAGCAAGAAAGCCCUUACAUCUAAUUGCUGGAAGUGGCUGGGGAAGCUGACAGACUAUAAUCGGCGUUGCGACUUUUUUCCGGCUCAUCGACAACAGCAGAGCUCCUCUGCAGCGCUCAGCACCGCUCCGGUGCAGCCCAGGGAGAAGGGAUGGUGCUGCAGCUUUGUGUGAAUUGGGAAUAGGAAGGGGUGGCACAGCCCUAACAGGCAGGAUGAGCGCUGGCUGUGGUGGCUGCGUCCCUUAUUUCUGGGCAAAUGUUCUUGGAAUGUGGUCUCUCCACGAGGCUUUAGGGAAUUUCAGCUGUGUGACGGCACUGGGUGGCAGUCCCUUUGCUCUGCCAUGGCCACCAUCCUUCCUCUGCCCUUUACACUGCUCACUGCUGCCCCGUGGGGAGCUUUGCACCCUGACCCUGAGAUAGCUGGCAAUUACAGACUGAGUCAGCCAAGCACACCCCAGAGGUGUUAUCCCUGGAUGCACAGGCUGGGACAAGAAGAGAGUUUUCCUUGUAGCCUCCCACAAGCGCUGGCGACUUCCAGAUCACGAUGAUGUACUGUAUUGUGGCAGUGAACCACAGCUCCUUCAGCAACUGCCUGCAGCCCAAUCUCCUUCUGUGAGCAGGUGGAACAGGGCCACGGGAUGUAGAUUCCAAUCUGCAGGUAGUGAAUGGGGCUUUUUUGCACAGAGGCUCUUUACACACAGAACUGUGACUCCUGGAGCGAGAUACGAUCUGUCCCACACAAGGACAGAGCUCUGCUAAGUGGCCCAUCCUGCUGGGCUGCAGCCCCUACCUGAGCGCUCUCCCACCUGAAGUCACACUGGUGCCCUUCAGAUGGUUUUCAUUUGAACUCCCAGAUCUUCUUCUACCUAUUUCCCAAACAAGAGGACAAACCUGCUUCUUUAACAACAACCAAGCCACCCUUGCCACACUGCAAAGAGCUUCCUUAGCAUCCAGGUUUGAAACACUCUCUUUUCCUUCCUAAUGUCUGUGUCCAUGCCUGUGCUUCCCCUAAGCUGCUGUUUCAGGGCUGCUUUUUGUACAAAAUUACCUCCUGAGAGCAAGUGUUCAGCUGCACUGUGAUACCCACUGGUGUCAGUACAGCGGCUCCUGCGUUGCAAAGUUCAGCGUCUGUGGAAGUCUUUGCAACAGUGGGAUUUUGGUUGGUGUGUCCCUUGGAUUUUGGAUCACUGAGAAGACAUCCAGAACAGCCUGAAAGAACCCUUUCCUUGGUGCCUUGGUCUCCGGAGGUCACCCUGAGUGCAAUUACCUUCUCCAAGUGCUAUGUGAGGAGAUCUGGCAGAGCCACGUGUGACUCACAGUAGUGCAUUAUAACCGGUGUAACGCUGCCAGCUCCAAGGUGACCUUGCUGUGGCACAGCGUGCUGGCACCUCCAUGGAGCUCAGGCCUUGAACAGCCAGCAAGGACCGUGCCCAACCCCUCAUCCAAGCCCAGCACAUCACUAUCUUCAGCCAAAUGUCUGGGAUAGGUGUGGUUAAUAGCAGUCUACUGUAUGCUUUGUGCAAAGCACGUCUUCCUCUUCAGACUCCUCCACUGGUGCCCGUCACUACUUGGGCCUUCCUGAGCAAGACCUGUCUGACAGCUGCAGCCCAUUGCAGGCCAGGUAGGAGCUGAGAUUAAAAACGAGACCUUGGACUGUUCCACGUGUCAGUUACUUCUGAGUGAUAUCCUCAGAAGCUGCAGCCAACGAGAUGAACAGGCAGCUGGCCAGUUAUGCAGACAGACCAACUGGGAAGGAAAGAAAGGGAGAUCUUGUCUCAGGACUCUGUUGUGUUACACAUAUUAAAAAACAAAACAACAAACAUA
This is a long non-coding RNA of Gallus gallus (chicken), 6173 nucleotides long. RefSeq lists it as uncharacterized. Lineage: Eukaryota; Metazoa; Chordata; Aves; Galliformes; Phasianidae. The record is from RefSeq and is a predicted model, not a curated record. The transcript has 3 exons.